This 343-nucleotide long non-coding RNA is filed under the name Mytilus galloprovincialis (Mediterranean mussel). The record is from RNAcentral. Lineage: Eukaryota; Metazoa; Mollusca; Bivalvia; Mytilida; Mytilidae.
AUUAACCUAUAGCUGUACAAUGUAAACUAUGGGAAUGCAACAAGAGUAUAAAUCUCAAUAACCGAAAAUUAUACCAUAGCUAUCUAUGGUAUAAUUUUCACAAUUAUACCAUGGUUUUGUUGUGUAUGAUUUUCGAAAAGAAAAACAAAGAUGGCAAGACCUGAACGAGGCCGCCUGAAUUUUUUAAUUGACAUAUGAACAACAGAGUCAAUGUGGGGCCACUAAGCUAAACUGCCCGCUUUGCACCAGCCGAUAUAAAUGAAUGCCUAGGGUGGGAAUCGAACCCACAUACACCAACACCGUUGUCCCUAUAUUUUUAAAUGAACAAAAAAUUGUCAAGAAC